GAUGAACGCUGGCGGCGUGCUUAACACAUGCAAGUCGAACGGAAAGGCCCUGCUUUUGUGGGGUGCUCGAGUGGCGAACGGGUGAGUAACACGUGAGUAACCUGCCCUUGACUUUGGGAUAACUUCAGGAAACUGGGGCUAAUACCGGAUAGGAGCUCCUGCUGCAUGGUGGGGGUUGGAAAGUUUCGGCGGUUGGGGAUGGACUCGCGGCUUAUCAGCUUGUUGGUGGGGUAGUGGCUUACCAAGGCUUUGACGGGUAGCCGGCCUGAGAGGGUGACCGGCCACAUUGGGACUGAGGUACGGCCCAGACUCCUACGGGGGGCAGCAGUGGGGAAUAUUGCACAGUGGGCGGAAGCCUGAUGCAGCAGCGCCGCGUGCGGGAUGACGGCCUUCGGGUUGUAAACCGCUUUCGCCUGUGACGAAGCGUGAGUGACGGUAAUGGGUAAAGAAGCACCGGCUAACUACGUG
RNAcentral lists this ribosomal RNA (468 nucleotides) under uncultured bacterium. Its description in RNAcentral is "partial 16S ribosomal RNA". It matches the Rfam family "Bacterial small subunit ribosomal RNA", at positions 28 to 507 of the family's 1533-position model. The record is from RNAcentral.